RNAcentral lists this long non-coding RNA (1056 nucleotides) under Malus domestica (apple). Its description in RNAcentral is "long non-coding RNA (MDOM_LNC016372)". Lineage: Eukaryota; Viridiplantae; Streptophyta; Magnoliopsida; Rosales; Rosaceae. The record is from RNAcentral.
CGAUCCCUAUUUGCUCAUAUACUACAAUUGUCAUCCAUAGGGUUUAAUUUGUGUGUCAAGUUAAUUCUCACAUCAACUUGAUAGAGUGCUUCAAAGUUCAAUUAUCAAACCUAAAAUGCUCACCCCACCCACAAGGUUUCCCCACUUAUACUCACUUCACCUAUCAACUAAUAAACUCUUAACUAUAUUUUCCAUAUUUAUCUAUGUUAUGCAUUUCCCUUGAUUUAUUUAUUUAUGAGUUUAUGAUAAUUUCUAAUAAUGUGGAUGGUAAUAGAAACACUGUUUUAUAUUAUUUUUUGUUCUUUUAUAAUACAACUCCUCUUGGGGCUUUGUUUUAUUGUUUUUAGUUGUAUUAUUUAAAUCGUCUUAUAUGUACUACUUCUAAUUGAACCACUACAUUGUUAAUUAUUUUUGUAAUUAUGGAGUUAGAUUAAUGUUGAAUUAAUAGUUCAUAUAAUUUGUCAACAUAUUUGUGUCCAAAACAACUAAAAUGGCCUAGAAAAACCCCAAACCAACUUAAUUUGCGAAAAAAAGGGCUCGUACAGUAGCAACUAUACAGUGUCCAUCUUCAACAUUGAUUAGUGAUUCAAAGAGAUUGAUGGCCGAAAAAGAAACUUACGCAUGACAUAAUGAAUAUUCUUGUGUGUUUAUGUUUCUCUUCACAUAAUGCAGACGAGUAUAUUUACUCCAUUACAUGUAACUUUUAGAUUAAUUAUUGUUGGCAAGUAAUUCACAUGUAUGUCUUCUCAUAGAGAGAAAAAAAAAUCAUCCUUUCAAAUUAUGGAGGUAGGGCCUCCUAAGACAUAAUGCAAAUAUUAAUGUGUGUCACCAAACAAGGAACUUCUUUAAUUGAAACUGUUACGUUUUUUUUUUCUAAUCAAGUCCAAAAUGUAUUUAAUUGUAAAAGAAAUGCUGAGAAGAUUCUUUUAAAAGUAGAAUUCUUCCUGAACUUUCUCAUCUUGUAACAUCCCACAUCGUCCAUGGUGGUGGAUCAUGUAAGCUUUAUAUGUAUAUUCUCAUCUCUACCUAGCACAUGACCUUUUAGGAACUCACUGG